Long non-coding RNA from Marmota monax (woodchuck), 9908 nucleotides. RefSeq lists it as uncharacterized. The transcript has 2 exons. Lineage: Eukaryota; Metazoa; Chordata; Mammalia; Rodentia; Sciuridae. The record is from RefSeq and is a predicted model, not a curated record.
AUAGUGUAGUAGUAGAGCAAAUACAUGCAGGAAGCUCUGGUUUUGAUACCCAGUGCUGAAAAACAAAUAAACAACAGUGGCAUUCUUGGCUUUUCUCCUUAUCAUAGGAAAGUGUCUAUCAUGUUACCAUUUGAUACAGUAUUAGUUUUUCAUAGAUAGUCUUCAUUACGUAAUGUUCUCUUCUACUUUGCUAAAAAUUUUAAUCAUGAAUGGAUGCAGAAACUUAACUGCUGUUUUCUGCAUCUAUUGAUCUUUCUUCCUUCCCUAUUUCCCAAGAGUUUAUAUAAAAUUGGUAUUAUGUAAUUCCUUAAUAUUUAAUAGAAUUCUCUAGUGAAACCCUCUGGGUUUAGAACAUUCUUUGUAGAAAAGUUUUGACAACAAAUUGACUUUUGUUAAUAAAUGGCUAUCCUGAUUUUCCAUUACAUCUUAUGUUCCAGUAAGCUGGAUUUUAAAAGACAUUUGCCCAACACAUUGAUUUUUUUAAAUAUAAAAUCAUUCAUUAUAUUUUUUCACUAUCCUUCAAAAAUGUCUGUAGAAUCUAUGUUGAUAUUUAGUCAUUUAUUUUGGUAAUUCGUGUUUUCUUUUUAAACCUCCACCAGACUUACUAAGGGAUAAUACUUGUAUUAAUCUUUCCUAAGAAGCAGAUUUAAUUUUGAUAAUUUUUUUCCUGUAGUUUCUUUUCUAUUUCAUUGAUUUCUGCUCUUUGUUAUUUCAUUGCUUUUCCUUGAUUUGGGUUUAAUUGGCUUGUGUCAUUCAAGUUUCACAGGAUUGAAGCUUUUUGAUAUUGUCCCUCUCCUAUCAAUUCCCUCGAAGGCAGAAUGUUUUUUUUUUUUUUUUUUCUAAAGUAAAACUAUAAAAUUCUCUCUAAAAACUGCCCUAACCUUAACAUUUUCAUAUAUAGUGUUUUUUUUUUAUCAAUCAGUUCAAAAUAUGUUCUCAUUUCCCUUUGGAUUGUAAUGAUCAUGAAUUAUAAUAAGAGUUUAAGGUCUUUCAAAAAAUCUUUUUCUUUUUUUCUAACCUAAUUGAAUUAUCAUUUAAGAACUACCUCUACAAAAUGUAAAUAUUUGAAAUUUGCUAAGACUUUUUAAUGGCUCAGCAUAUGCUUAAUCUGCAUUUCUCUACUUUCUAUAUACAUUUGAAAAGAUCAUAUUUUCCAGUUAUUGGAUGAAGUGUUUUACAAAUAUUAAUUUUAUAAAUAUCAAGGUGACUAUACUUUUGUUCUGAAUUCUUUAAGCUUUACUGAUUUUCCCCCUCUUUUUCUAGCAAUCACUGAGAUAGGCAGGUUAGCAUCUAUUAUUUCUUCCUUUAGUUCUGUCAAUUUGGGCCUCAGCUACUAUUAACCUUGUUACUAGCUAAACUAUACUUAGCGUUAUGCUCUCCAGAUGAAAUUCACUUCUUAUCAUUAUAAACAUCCUCUCCAUCUCGGAUAGAAUAUCUUGUCAUGAAGUCUGUUUUGUCUAAUAUUAAAGAAACUUUAUUUUGGAUUUAGUGUAUAUUUGGGACUUGCUUUUUUAUCCAGUCUGACAAUUUUAGCAUUUUGAGAGCUUAGUUAAUUUACAUGUAAUUUCAUUAUUAACCUGGUUCAAUUCAGUUUUAUCAUUUUGCUGUUUGUUUUCUGUUUGUUUUCUGUUUGUUCCAUCUGUUGACUACUUUUUAUUUCUCUUUUCCGAACUUGUUUUGUGUUAAUUAUUUCUUCUUAUUCUAUUUUAUUUUCUUUGGCUGCUUUUUCUCUUUUUCACUUUGUAUUUGUUUAGUGGUUGUUCUAAGGGAUCACAUUGAAUGAUCACUAACCUUAAAUUAUCACUAUUCAGAGUGCAGAGUGGAUAUUUUAUAUAUAUAUAAUAUAUAUAUAUAGUUUUAAUACCCAGUGCUGAAAAACAAGUAAACAACAGUGACAUAUAUAUAAUCUGAUGUAAAACAUAAUGAUCUUUCCAGAGUAUUGUUCCACUCCAAAUCAUUUUUUGCUUUUGUUCUUGUAUAUUUUACAUGUAUAUACAUCAUAAUAUACAGUACAGUGUUGAGAUUUUUACUUUAAGUUGUUUUUAGUCUUCAAAUAAAUUGAGAAGAAUUUUAAGAGAGAUAUCCACAUAUUAAUCAUUUCCAAUGUUCUUAAUUUUUCAACCUAAAGAACUCUGUGUACCAUUUCUGUAAUACAGUUUUGUUGGCAAACUGUACUCUUAAUUGUUUUUCUUUUAAUUUUUCCCCCACCACCUUUCAUCCCUUGAUAGAGUCGAGCUCAUUUCCACUUCUGGGACUUCUGUUGGACCCAGCUCUUCACCUCAAAGGCCAUUCAUUAUCCUCUGGCUUCAUUUCAUACUUCAGAGAACCCUGUGAACCAAACAAGGAAAUCACUGCUCUUCCCACUUCUGUUCCUCUCAUCCUCCUCUUUACUUUCUGUGCAAUGCUUUCACAACCUUUAAUUGUGUUUUCCAUUGGUUUACUUGUGUCUGGUUUUUCUCCCUGAUUAACUCCAUAAGCAAAUAUGCUGUGUCUUAUUCUUUCCUGUAUUCUUGGCAUUCAGCAAAAUACCUGGCACUGUAAUACAGGCUCGAUCAUGUUUCUCUAAUGCAGAGUGGAUGCAGUUGGAGCCAUAGGGACAUCUAGCUUUGCUAGACUUGAAAAGACACAUUCUGCUAAACUCUCCAGGACCAUCUGUUUUAUAAACACUGUGCUAGGAAAUAUAAAUACAAGUGUGAUUCAUCUUCAAAAAGCUUUUCCAGAUCUUCGGAGUUAGAAGCAAUCCCCUCCUCUUGUUCCCAUUAUGUCUAAGACCAAACUCCCUGUUGUUCUUUUGAUGGUCUAUCUGCACAUUUUACUUGUGUACAUGUCUUCUCUAUCUAGCUGCACUGUCCAUCAGCUCUUGGAAGGCAGGGACAAUAUUUCAAUCCAUUAGUCAAUAGCUGAAAUAACCUUUAGGCUUGCAAGGGCUUUAGGAUAUUCCUAAUAUGGUAUUGUGAAAAUGAAUUGAAUAAGAAAGUUAGCAUUUGGGGUUUAAUAAUAAGAUUCUCUAGUUCUCAAAAGAAAAAAAGAGUUGUAUAAUUCCAAAGUAAUUACAAUUUCAACUGAACAUUAAUAAAGUGCUAAGUUCCCACCAAGGACACUGUGUCUUGUGUGGGGGAGGUUUCCUCUGCUCCUUCUUUACCUUUGUUCUUGUUCAUAUGCACUGCCUUUCCAGUUUAGGAUCCCUGUAGUUUGCAUUGCAAUAAAGUGCCAAAUAUUUCCUGCCCACGCCUCUGUAUGGCUUCAGAGCAUGAGAACUGUUAUGGAAAGCAACAGAUUAGAAUAUUUUUUAGAUAUGUUGGUGUUCUUAAAAAUGCCCAUUUUUAAACAUAAAUAUUUAUGCCUAUUGCCAAGCUGAACCUCCGUUUGCUAUGAGGAGACCUUUGAUUAGUCUGUAGUCUGAAGAGGAUUCAUAUAAAAAUAGUUACCUCUUAUUAUGACAAGACUGAUGGUGAACUCUGGAGGGAGUAAUGCCUGAAGCUGGUUUUCAUAUUUUGAUUCUAUGCAUAAAAGAGCAGAAUGGAUCAGCCCCAGAUAAGCUUUCAGACAACUUCCACAUUGGUUGUGAUAACUUACAGCCUCUGGGUUUGGGGACUGUAAUAAUCUUUCUGAAUCAUGCUUGCCUGUGAAAUGGAAAGCCAAUAUAAGUAGCUCUCUUUAUUUAUUUUUUAUUUUUAUCUUUUGGUACUGGAGAUAGGACCCAGGGGCACUUUGCCACUGAGCUACAUCCCUACCCCUUUUUAUUUUUCAUUUUAAGAGAGGGCUUCACUUAGUUGCUUAGGGCCUUGCUAAGUUUCUGAAGCUGUGUAACAAAUUUGCAGUCCUCCUGCCUCAGCCUCCCAAGUCAUUGGAAUUACAGGCCUGAACCAUUGUACCUGGCUCAGAGCUCUUCUUUAUAAAAUAGCUUUUCUUUUUCUUUUGAAGACCCAGUAUUGUUGUGAUGGCUUCAAGUUUCCCAAAGGAGUACAAGUAUGUGGGGGGAGUUCUUUUUCAAAUGUGAGAACAUGGUAGGGAUGAGGAUUGUAUACAUUUCCAGGGUCCAUCCAAAACUUAUAGAAUUGGCAUGUCCACAAGUUUUGCCUGGGAAUCUAAAGGUUAGCACUAUCACUGGAGGAUGUAUCUGCACUCACCUGAGAGUCAUUUCUCCAGCAAGUAAAGAUUUGACAGUUGUCUAUUAUAUUUCUGAGCUUGGAAGCCAUGCCCAAGAAGUUUUGGGUUCCUUAGACUUUCCAGAGAAGAUCCUGGAUAUUUGUAGUUUUGUUGCUUUAUCCUUUUUUUCUUCCAUAAUUAAAUGGACUCUCUUUUUUUUAAGUGCUGUGGAUUAAACCUAGGGCCUUGUACUUGUUAGACAAGCACUCUGCCACUUAGCUUCAUCUCCAACCCCUUUAAAUUGGCUCUUAAUGGAACAAUUAGAUAAGUCAGUUUGUGAUUGAAAUGAACAGUCCUCAAACUAACCAACCCAGCUUACACAGGACAUUGCACAUAGAUUUCCCUGAAAUGUGCAUCAGAACAUAAAAGUGUGAAUGACCCCAGAAAGCUCUGUUCUUUGUUCAAUUGUGGACAUGAAAUCAAGUCUAAUGACUGCUACUUUCAGUAAGCAGGACCUGUUGGAUGUGAUGUCAUCAGAAGGGAACUUCAUGUUUAUCCUCCUCUGACCAUUCAAAUUGUGUUUGCAGGGUUCAUUUUUGUUUUUUGUUUUAUAUUGAAAAUGGUAAUUUAAUCAUUUUUUCUUCUAAAUAUAUUGACUGGAACUAUCUUGUGAGGAGGAGCUCUGCCUUCACUUCUUUUUAAAAAUAUAUAUAUAUUUAAAGUUUCUUCUGAUUUGUUACACAUGAUGGCAGGAUGCAAUUCAUUUCAUAUUACACAUACAGAGCAUAAUUUUUAGAGACACUGAUUGUACACAGAGUAUUUUCAAACCAUUUGUGUCUUAUACAUAUACUUAGGGGUAAUGAUGUCUAACUCAUCCCACCAUCAUUCCUACCUCUUGCCCCCUCCUUUCCCCUCCCUCUCCUUUAACCUAUAUAAAGUUCCUCCAUUCCUCCCAUGCUCCCAACAAAAUCACCAUUAUUUGUCUGCAUCCUCAUAUCAAAGAAAACAUUCGGAUUUUGUUUUUUAGAGAUUGGCUUGCUUCACUUAGCAUUAUGUUCUCCAACUUCAUACAUUUAUCUGCAAAUGCCAUGAUUUUAUUUUCUUUUAUUGCUGAGUAAUGUUCCAUUGUGUAUAUAUACCAGAGUUUCCCUAUCUAUUCAUCUACUGAAGGGCUUCUAGAUUGGUUCCAUAGUUUAGCUAUUGUGAAUUGUGCUGCUAUAAACAUUGAUAUUGCUGUGUCCCUGUAGUAUGCUGUUUUUAAGUCCUUUGGGUAUAGACCAAGGAGAGGGAUAGCUGGUUCAAAUGGUGGUUCCUUUCCCAGGUUUCCAAGGAAUCUCCAUAUUGCUUUCCAGAUUGGCUGUACCAAUUUGCAGUCCCACCAGCAAUAUAUGACUGUGCCUAUUUUCCCCACAUCUUUGCCAACACUUAUUGUUGUUUGUAUUCUUAAUAGCUGCUAUACUGACUGAAGUGACAUGAAAUCUUAGAGUAGUUUUGAUUUGAAUUUCUCUAAUUGCUAGGGAUGUUAAACAUUUUUUCAUAUGUUGAUUGAUUGUAUAUCCUAGACCUGUAGACCAAUGGUGCAGAAUAGAGGACACAGAUUCUAACCCAUAUAACUUCAGUUAUCUUGUAUAAGACAAAGACACCAAAAUUGUACAUUGGGAAAACUGGAAAUUCACAUGUAACAAAAUGAAAUUAAACCUCUAUCUCUCACCAUGCACAAAACUCAAAAUAGAUCAAGGACCUAGGAAUUAAACCAGAGACCUUGCACCUAAUGGAAGAAAAAGUAGGCCCAAAUCUCCAUCAUGUUGGUUUAGGCCCCAACUUUCUUAAUAAAACUCCUGUAGCACAAGAAUUAAAACCAAGAAUCAAUAAAUGGGAUGGAUUCAAAUGACAAAGCUUUUUCUCAGCCAAUGAAACAAUCAAUGAGGUGAAUAGAGAGCCUACAGAAUGGGUUCAUUUUUUCCUACCCUUUGUAAUAAAAUUAGGACAUGUCAUGAAAUUCCACUUUCAUGUCAUAGAGAGUCCUUUGCUCCUCAUUGAUAGUUAUUAAUAUAUUCAGGAUAGAGCAAUAUUUUUAAAAUAUCCCCAAAAGUUUUAGAAGCCAGGUACCCCCCCUCUUCCAGCUCUGUACUUAGGGCUGCUUGCUUGCUGACAGAAAGAAAAUAUGCUAGGUUUUUUCUCUUUUUCUCUGCCUAGAGUUUUGCUUGUCUUCUAGGACUUCACUUUUUCCCCCCCUUCAGUAGAUUUCCUCUCGUUUCUCUAGGGCUGAGAGAUGCAGGGUGAAGAAUUCAAAAGACAUGGCAAAUGAAAGCUAACUUGAUGGCUUCUAUACAAAGCUAGCUUAGAUGCUCUUUGAAUGGAAGGGACUGCAAACUGAUUCUUCUCUUGGGCUUUAUCAGGGACUCACCAUUACUUAAUAUCAGCUAAAUAUCUCAUCUGAGGCCACAUUAAGUACCUAGAUGAACACUUUCUAUGGAGGUCUCUUUGCCCUCAACUUCUAUAACUCAGUAAUACCCUCUUGUGUAUUAUCUAAGACAUUACUAAAUCAGCUGCUCUUAUGUAUAGUCUACACAUAGUCUGUAGGAAAUACUAAUUUGGUCUGACAAGCUCUGAUAAGACAGGCCACAUCCAGUCCUGCCACCUCUUGUACUUUUCCAUCAGAGUCGGAGUCACAGUCACUAGUACUUUGGGUCUUGCCAGUGCAGAUUCAUGUUCAUAGCUUACAAGUGCAAGAAGAUACUCUUCAAGCUCACUAGGUAACAUUAUUAAGACAUCUCCAAUAGGCUUGAAGUGGGGGAGAAAUACACAGUGCUCUCCUGUGGAGAAGGGAAGAUGGAACUUCCAGUACAAUAUAGCUCCCUCUUCGGAAAGACACUUCUGAUUUCUUCUUCACUCCCUUGUAGACCGGCAUUGAGUGGUCACUUUGUGGUGUGACACUGGUUCUUGCUCAUUUGCCGUGAAUGUCCCAACUGCCCUGGGGUUUCUUCUUUCACUUUGGUAAUGGGGGUGCACUUGCUAUCUGUCUCAAGACUUCAGGGCAAGAUGUCAAAUCCCUGAGACAUAAGGGAUUCCAUUUUGAUAUCUAUCCAAAAUCAUAAUCAUAACUAACUUAUAUUGAUCAUAUGUUACAUACCAGGCUCUCCCUCCCAUACACAUUUAAUAUGUCACUCAGUCCAACAUUAAAAGGAAACAGAAGUUUACAGACGUCAAAUAAGUUGCAUAAAGUGAUCCAGGUAACAAGUUGCAAAGAUCUUUCAACCAUUAUGCAUUAUUUUCUUAGGGAAAUAGGGAAUAGCUUUGCCUCUUAGAAAAAAAAAUACUAUGCAUUAAUUAGAAAGAAACGCUGUAGUUGUUUAAUGUCUUUGGUUUUACAAUAGGAAAACCAGAAAUUUAUGGCAAAAUCAAUAUUAAUAACUCUACUUGAUAAACAUUUUAUUCUCUUAGUUCUUACUACAGCAUUGUGAAGUAGUUGGGCUUGUCUUCAACUUGUAGAUGAGGAAAUUGAGGCUAGGAAGAAGUUAUGUUACUUUCUGUGGGUUGCACAACCGGGGAUAUUUGAGCUAUGAUAUAAUCCAGAGUUUCAGAUCAUGACCAACUUUUCUUUUCUCUCUACUCUGAAGGGACAUACUAGCAGAAGGAAAGUGUUCCAGUGUGGGUCUCUGAGCUGUGGCAGAUGUUUAAAGUUAUUUAGUAAAAAGCUGUUUGUAACACAAGUUUGUCUCAAGAUGAGUCAAUACUACAAAAUAGUUAUGAAAUUUGCUGAACUCCUUGCAAGCAAAAAGUUAUCUUCUUCAUCUUGGAAUCCCUAGUGCCUGGCCCAUGGUUGAUACUGUUAUUAAUGAAGUAAACUGUAUUUUAAACUCUCUGUUGGAAAGGCAUACUUCGUGUGAAACAGAUUGAUGUUUUAUCCUUCUCCUGGGUAUUUCCAUCUUGUAUGAUGGAAGGGAAAACUAAAUGAAUGAUGUCUAAAAUUGUAUUUCCUAUUCUGCCAAUGGAAGAAAGGUAGAAAAGGAAUGGGAAAGAGAAUUUUGUGGUUGUUUAUUUGUUUUUUUUGUUUUGUUUUGUUUUGUUUUUUGAUGUUUCAAAUUUUACUUCAGAGAAGACAACCAACUAUCAGUAUGACUUAGGGGGAAAAACAGAAUGCUUUUUUGAAUUAUAGAAUGUCUAGAAACACUUUGCUUCAAUUCACAGAACCAAGUCUCCAAAAUUUCAGUCAUCUAAAAAUGGGGUAGGCUGUUUCUAAUAUAUCCAGACACACUUCUACUAAGGGAUCUGCUGGCUGGGAUCCAGAAGGAGGGAUUGAAUUGUAGUGGGUGGUAUGAACUAGGAAGUCCUCUGUCCUUGAACUUUUCAAUGUUCUAGAAUUCAUUCAGGUGGUUGAUCCAGACGGAGCUAACCAGGUCUGUCUGUUUUCCACAGGUCUGAGGCGCAAUUACAGAUGUACCAUCUGCAGUGUCUCCCUAAAUUCAAUAGAACAGUAUCAUGCCCACCUGAAAGGAUCUAAACACCAGACCAACCUGAAGAAUAAGUAGUGAAAACAUCAAUCAAGAGAUUUUAAAAAUGCCAGCAUUUCUCUGCUGUGGAGAAUCGCUUAUCAACCAUUAGAGGAGGAUCCCUUCUUGAACAAUGAACAUUUCUUAUGAGGAUUCACAGAUUAACAUAUGACUAAUCUUGAUUUUGGAAAGUGAAUGAGAUUUCUUUCUUUCCUUUUUUUUAAGUUUUGUGGUAAGUCAUGAUAUUUGGCUUGAUUUUUUAAAAUAAUUCUUUCCUGAUAACAUAUUUAGCACAUGUUCUAAAUUAUAAUCCUAUAGCAAACAGUUGGAGCAUUAUUCAAACUUACAAAGAGUGAAAAAGUCUAAUUUUCAAUUUAUUCUAGAUUUCCUCAGAGUAUAAAUAUUCUAUGAAAUCCUUGAUGAUUGUGAUGUAAAUCACUUCUAUCCAGAAAUAAACAUUCUUUUGUCAUCAUGUUGAACGUAAUCGGUGGCAACAUGCACAAAUCUGAACAAAUCAUUAUUAGUAGAAGAUAUAUAAUGGAGAAAUACCAGUCCUUCACCUUCAAACACGUGAGCCAGGCUUGCCAUCUGAAUGAGAGCAAGGAGGAUGAAUAAAGGAAGAAUCUUUAUCCUUUUCUUCUGAUCACUCCAAGGAUGGUUUCUCAAGGUGAAGCCAAGUCUUCUGCAAGCUGCCAAAUAGUAGCUUAGGAAAAGAAUUAGUUUGCUUGCAUGAUGAUCCUCUUAGGCAAAAAUGACUUCACAGCAGUUCACCUUGGUAAAAUCUUUUACUGAAGGCAUCCAAAAAAAAAUCAUGUACCCCAGAAUGAGAUGGAAAUUUGCAUUUCUUAUGAAGCUGGCCUGAAUUGUGGGUAUUAAUUUGGGGUACUGAUGAUCUGAAAUGAAGUAAAGAAAUCCUGAUGAAACAGCAGCCUUGGGUAGGACAAGGUCCCCUAUUUCUUCUGUUUCUCAUCGAAGUCCUGUUGCUGAGCCAAGAGUCCAUCACUUUGGGAAGAACACCACUGGAUAGAAUGACUGGAAAAAUCACCCCUCUAUGAUGGGGAACAUCUCUGAGUACAAAUCAUAAAGUUCUUUCUCCAGGUUUCAUUCCCCAUGGUGACCAGAAGUGGUGUCUUGCAGGCUGGCUACAAGCCAGGACAUUUGAGUUUCUAUUCAGGAUGCUAUCAGGCUCCAGCUGGAAUCUGGCCAGGGCUGCCCUUUGCACCUUGUGACCCACAGGUGGUUGAUCUCCAGGUGGGCAUCCUUUGUUUUCUGCGGAGAGCCAAGGUGGUUAUAACUCAGUGAGCAAUAAAUGAAAUGACACAGAAA